This 6453-nucleotide long non-coding RNA is filed under the name Sus scrofa (pig). RNAcentral describes it as "lncRNA (ENSSSCG00025073942.1)". Lineage: Eukaryota; Metazoa; Chordata; Mammalia; Artiodactyla; Suidae. The record is from RNAcentral.
AUUUGGAUAUAAUUUUAUUUAAGCAGGAAGAUCAUCCAUGGUUUUUUCCAUUCCUUCUUACCUCUUUUAAGCACUGCCACCAGAGUGAUAUAUUUAGAAAAGAUGGAAUCCUAUAGAUUUCCAUCCCAACCAAUGUCUUUCUAAUAAAUUAAAAAUAACUCUUGAUUCUUUUAUUCAGUACUACUUUCUAAGUCAUACUACACUCCCUGAUUUAUUUGCUAAUAUUUCACUUCAUUAAUAUUUAUCAAUUUUUCUGAAUUUAGGUAUCUAUUUUUAUAUUUCCAUAUAUUUAUCUGAAUUUCUUUCUGAUUCUAAUUUUCUUUAAUUCUCACUUAAAAUACAUACACUAUAAUUUCUCUGUUCUUUCAAGGGAUAUAUGUACCUAAGGAGAAGUGGAGUGGUUCUCCAGUGAUUUUUUUUUUCUAACUUGGCCCUCCCUCUUUCCUUUUCCUUUCAUAAAAAUUUAUUGAGCACUUAUUACAGACUAGAUUAUGAGUGUUCUGUGCUGAUUAAGGGAGAUCUGACCCUACCUUUGUGGAGCUUGACACUUUCUGAACAGAAGUAUCAGUAGAGCCUUGUUACUUUUAGCUAGUAUGGUGUCACUUAGUCUUCUUUGGUUGCUGACAUUUGAAAAUAACACUGAAGGAAGGAAGAAUUUGUUGGAAAUAUAUGUAUGAUAGCAAUGGAAGAGAGACUCAAAGAAUCAACUAGAGGCUGGCCAUGGAGCCUUGAAAGUAGAGAGAUUCAAAGUUAUCAGGAAGCAGGAACCCUUGCAUCUGUCCCUGACGAGAAGACUUGGAUCAGCAUCCUGUUAUUGAGAUAAAUAUCCUAUAACACUGCCAUCACUGGAUCAAGGGUCCAAGCUGUGAGGGAGAUGAACCACUCUCCUUAGUCUGGUCACAUGCUGCCUAUGGGCUGCACCAGAGCUGAAAGGCAAAUCCCUCUUGACUCUAGUGAAAGGCUGGUUUCUGGAUUUAUCUUCCAAAGAUCUAGCCCAAUGAAUGAGAGAACUUAAAUCAGGGCAUUGUUAGGAAGGGAGAAAAGUAGCAAAAGAAGAACUCUCCUCAACCCCAAACGAAAACUAAACCAAAAAAUGAGACAAAUACUCUCUAUGAUUAGUAUGAAUUUGAAAUAAAUCAAUGUAUGUAAUGACUUCAAAUUACAUCUUUAUUUCAAUUCCAUCUACCUCAUAAGGGAUUUGAGGGGUUUCAGUAGGAGACAAAAAUAAAAACAAAAUCACUGAAAUGGUAGAAAAGUAAGAAUCAAAGUUUGCUUUUGUGGAGUUCUGAUAAAAAUUUCAUCUGUCUUGAAAACAAAAUCAUAGACUUGGAAAAUAGACUCAUGGUUGCCAAGGGUGAGUGGGAGGGAGUGGGAUGGAACCCACUUGGGGUUAAUCAAUGCAGACUAUUGCCUUUGGAAUAGAUUAGCAAUGAGAUCCUGCUGUGUAGUACUGGGAGCUAUGUCUAGUCGUUUAUGAUGGAGCAUGAUAAUGUGAGAAAAAAGAAUGUAUGCAUGUAUGUGUAACUGGGUGACCAUGCUGUACAGUAGGAAAUUGACAGAAACCAUAAGCCAGCUAUAAUGGAAAAAAAUGAAAAUCAUUAUAUAAAAAAAGAAAAAAAUUUUGUCUGUCUUAUUAACAGCCAAAUCAGCAAAUUAGUUUUAUAUAACAGAUGCUCAAUAAUUAUUUACUGAGUGAACAUGGGGCAGAAAAUGGGGUAAUGAUGAUUUUAAAAAUAAUUUUUUAAUACAAUUUUCUUCCAUUUUUCUGGGCCUCCUGGGGAGGGAUCAGGUAAAGAAGACCUGAUUGGUGGCCUCUGACUUGCACAUUGAACAAACUUUAGCAAGUUACUAACCUCUUUCUGUCUCAGUUACACAUGUAUGAAAUUGGGAUAUAUUAGUUUACAGUAUGAUAUGACAGUCAGCUGAGAUAAAGAAUUGGAAGGCAUCUUGAUAACUUCAAGGUAAAAAUAUUGUAAUUGAUGAAAUCACCCAAAUUAGGUACCUUUUCUUGCUUUAUAAGAAUAAUUUUACAUUAAGACCCCAACUACAAAUUAAGGGCCCCUCUUUUAUAGAAGACAAAGCUUUAUAUUUUGUUUGAAUAAGAAUCAUCUCCAGAUAACUUUUACUUUAAGCAGCUCUGCAGGGAUAAAAUUGGACCAAAAAAAAUUUCUUAUGUGAAAAAGAUUGGGGGAAAGUAAUUAGCACAAAGUUGGUGAGUUUGUUUAUAGAAUGUGAAUUAGUCACAGCAAAAUGACAAAUUGAUUUACAGCUUAAGUGAGAAAAUUCAAUUCUUCAUUAAAAGCAUAUUCUAGGAGUUCCCACUGUGGCUCAAGAGGCUGACUGAAGAGGCUCAGGUUGCUGUGGAGGCAGGGGUUUGAUCCCCAACCUGGGAACUUCCAUAUGCUGCCAGUGCAGCCAUUAAAAAAAAGGAAAGAAAAAUGCAUCCCAUAGCCCAAUGAGCAAAUACCACUUCCUAUGAGAAAUAGUUUUUCUAAACCUUGUGCUUAUCAUGGAAUCCUUUUGGAACCCAUUAUUUGACUUCUUGCCUGGGAGAUGAAAACAAAAACAAAAAAGAAAGAAAACAAUAAUAAUAAAAGCAACAACAAAACUAGCCACACUCAUUUCUCCUUCUUGAAUGAGAAGAAAGAGGAUUUGUAAUUGUAAGAAAAAAGAAAGCAUGUUUAGUUUUAAACUUAAAACAGGACUCUGAUUGGUCUCCAGCAGUUCAUGGAUCUCCAGGACAGAAUCUUCAACCUUCUCUCUUUUAUCUUGCUGAGAAGAACUGUGACCUGUACACUGCUUGGAUUCUCAACAUAAUUAUAGUCAAAAUAAUUACUUCUUUUAAGUUUUCCCAUAAAAAUAUCAUUGUAACAUGUAGCCUUCUUUUUAUUUAACCCCAAACAUUCAAAAUAUUGACGCUUAUAAUUCUAAUGCCACACUUGUAUGUUUCUUUCACACCUUUUACAGUGAAAAGUCUGGCAGUAUAAUACACACUUUUUGAUGCCCAGUGUCUAAUAGUGUUCAAUAGAUCUGUUGAAUAGAAUGUGGAAUCGAAUGGUGAAAGGAGAAAACUUGGCAGACUUAUUAUUCUUACCUUUUUAAUAUCAAUUUGCUGUAUGUUAUCAGAAAGUUACUUUCAAUCCUGUUCAAUUUAAUAAUUACUAUUAAGCUUAUCAAGGGCAGACAGGACUUUCAAAGCAUUGUAGAGGAAAACAAAGAUGUUUGAUACACAGCUCUAUAUUCAAGUAGGUUUCAGACCAACCAGUGAAACAAGGGCUAGACUUCGCGCAGACUGUGAAAUUUCAGAAACUCAUAGUAGGGAGUAUAUUUAAAAUCACUGACAAUGAUAUGUGCAUAUUUGUCAAACUCUUUGAUACCUGCCAGCAUUUCGAAAAGCCUUUAUUAAUUGAGGAGAUAUUGAAGAACAACAAUAAAUCUUUCCUUAGCACAUUGAUACUUACGAGAAAGUUAAAAUAGAAUUUUUCAGAUGGAAAGAUUCUUUCAGAUCAUAUAGCCCAGUGCUUUAACUUGAUAAAGAACUAAGGCACAGAGAAGAUUCAUAAUUACACCAAGGUCACACAACACCUCAUAGUCAUUGGGAGACAUAGUCAUUGAAGUGAAGCUCAUAGUCAUUGAAGUGAAGCUCAUUAGUCUCCCUUUGGUGUCCAUAAAGAUGUGAUAUUUCUUCUAGAAAUAAAUGGGAAGGGAUGGUGGCAGCUGUCUCUCCUCUCAAGGUGAUAGGGAAAAUCCCACAACCUUUGUGGAGUCCAUCUCUGGUGAGGCUAUAUUAAAGUUUUCCCAUCAAAUAUCAUUGUAAAUAUAGUUUCUUUUCAUUUAACCCAGACUUAUUCAAAAUAUGGAGAUUUCUAGGGAUUGUGUGGUGUACAUUAUGCAAUACUACCUAUAAGUAAUACAAGUGUGUCAAUGUUGCAUAGGUGACAGAAUUCAGGGACCCCUGCAGCGAUGUAGUCCUUCCUGCCUUUAGGCCACAUUACUGGUGUCCUUGAGGAUGAUUUAGCUCAGCAGAACAAACAUUAAUGGAGUGUCAACUAUAUGCAUUGCAUGUGACUAAUAGGAGUCUCAGAUGAUCAAGGACAACUAAGGAGGAUUGCUCUGUGCUUGUAGUAGCUCACAUUUGCCUUUCUCAGGAGCAAGGCAUGUAUCUUCUUUCUCAAUCCAACUGCCUAUUAUACAUGCAUAAGCAGAGGUGGGUAGGUAGUCACAGGUGGAGACAGAUAGUCACAGGUGGAGACAGGUAGUCACAGGUGGGUACAAGUGGAGAUCUGGCUCUUGUCUUUUCUGCCCACCUUUUACAGGUGUAAUCUGAAGGCAUCUAAUCUUGAGCAAUGGUGGGUAAAUAGAUCUCUUAGGUGCAAAAUUCUUGGCAUAUUCUACACAAACAACUCAUUCUGCACAGAUUCCUCAGUGUCCCAGUGGUAUUGAGCCUCCAUUAUCCACAGUGGUGAUCUGUUAGAUAAUGUACCUUUGAAGUGAUUUUCUGUCAUUCCCUAUUUUACUCUUUCAAGACUCCUACUCCUAUUUCCAGUUAUUAAUUACAAAAUAAACUACCUGCACCCAGGCCCUUAUCUCAGGUCCUGCUUCUGAGAAGGAACCCUGUCUGAUGAAGACUGAGAAGCAUAAAGCUUGUGUCUCCCUUAUAGGAGCACAUGGAGGAAGCAGGUGUUUGCUCCAUGUGGUAAGUAGCCUUAAGAACUCUCCUUUCUUCCCUCAUGACUUAUUUCUCCAAAGGCAGAUGUUCUGAGACUCUUAACACUAUUAUAACCUCUACAUUUCCUUUUUGUUCUUGCUGUUGUUAUUGAGUACGUCCCUUUAAGUGAAUCCCUCCUAAAUAUUUCCUCAAUUGAUGGAGAUCUUUCAAUAUGUUUGUAGGUUGUAAUGGGAUUGAAGAUACAUUGAUAUUAAUUUUCAGUUUUAAAUGUGCCAUUUCUUACCUCUUCUUUCACUCUAUUGUUCCCAGUUGUAACCCCCUGCAAUUUUUCCUGCUGUGCUCUUUUUCAGUCUGUGAAUUUUGGAAUGAGUGUCAGGUCUUCUGCAGCAGAGGCAGAGUGGGGGCUCCGUGUGGACGCACUUGAACACCAUAGAGAGAGCCUUUCCAGUCCACUUGGGAACAUCAUGGUCCUGUCUCUUCAUCUAGCAUAGGAGCUAUAUAUAUAUGUGUGUGUGUAUAUAUAUAUAUAUACAUAUAUGUGUAAUAUAGAGAGAUAUAUACACACACACAUAUAUAUAAAAUAUAUCUCUAUAUUACACAUAUAUGUAUAUAUAUCUGUCUAUAUUACACGUAUACACAAAUCUAUAUGUAAUAUAGAUAUAAAUAUAUAAGAACUAUUCACAUUUCAAUGAGUUUAGUGUCAAUUUAAAAAAUUAAGAUUAUAAUUUCUACAGUGGGGAAUGUUGAAACAGUACUUAUUAGAGCUGGAUACUCUACAAAAUAGUUUACAAAGUUAUGUAGAAUUCUAAGCAUGCAUAUGCUUAAUUUUAAGUGCUUUUUAAUAAUUGUGUCCCAACUUUAUUGAGACAUAAUUUACAUAUAUUAAAAUGCAUCUAUUUUAAGGGUAUAGCUAAAUGAAUUUUGGCAAAUGUAAAUACCUGGGUAACUGCCACCACAAUCACAGUACAGAACAUUUCCUGCCUUCCAAUAAUUUCUUCAUGUUCCUUUGGAAUCAGGGCCUUUCUCCACAGCCCCAGGCAACCACAGCACUGUUUUAUGUCAAUAGCAAUCUGUUUUGCCUAUUAUAGAAUUUAAUAUAUUUGGACUUAUGACUCUUUCAUGUUUGGCUUCUUUUGCUCAGCAUGAGGUUUUUGACAUUCAUCUCAGUUGUGACAUGCAUCAGUUGUCUUAUUUUAUUUUAUUUAUUUUAUUUUGUUUUAUUUUGUUGUUUCUUUUAUUGCUGCGCAUUUGAGUUGUGUCCAGUUACUAGCUGUUAUGAAUAUAGCUGAUAUAAACAUUCUUGUUCUUAUUUUUGUGUAGCCCCGUUUUUAUUUUCUUGGGUAAAUGCCUCAGGAAUGGAGUUGCAGGGUCAUAGGAUAUUUUCAACUAUUUAAGAAACCAUCAAACUGUUUUCCAAAAUAGUUCUACCAUUUUGCUAUGCCCACCUGCAAAGUAUCAGUGUUCUAAUUGCUCCACAUCCUCACCAACACUUGGCAUUUUCAGUCUUUAUGAUUUUAAUUAUUCUAAUGAGUAUGAAGUGGACUCUCAUCACGGUUUUAAAUACAGAUUUCUUUAAUGACUAAUGGUAUGUUGAAUCUUUUCAUGUUGUGUUUGGCCAUUUAGAUAGCCUUUUUGGUGUGGUGUACAUGCGAGUCUUUUGCUCAUGUUUGAUUUAUGUAUUUUUAGGAAAUCUGUAUCAUCUAAGUUGCUGAAUUUACUGUAAUAAAAUUGUUCAUAAUUUUUCCUUAUUGGUUCUUUAAAAGUCUAUAGCAUAAGUCAUGAUA